RNAcentral lists this transfer RNA (70 nucleotides) under Canis latrans (coyote). Its description in RNAcentral is "tRNA-Thr". RNAcentral also lists the same sequence under 1 other name. Lineage: Eukaryota; Metazoa; Chordata; Mammalia; Carnivora; Canidae. The record is from RNAcentral.
GUCUUUGUAGUAUAACCAUUACCUUGGUCUUGUAAACCAAAAAUGGAGAGUAAUCGCCCUCCCUAAGACU